RNAcentral lists this transfer RNA (74 nucleotides) under Fasciola gigantica. It matches the Rfam family "tRNA". From Rfam's summary of the family: Transfer RNA (tRNA) molecules are approximately 80 nucleotides in length. Their secondary structure includes four short double-helical elements and three loops (D, anti-codon, and T loops). Lineage: Eukaryota; Metazoa; Platyhelminthes; Trematoda; Plagiorchiida; Fasciolidae. The record is from Rfam by way of RNAcentral.
GGCCCGGUAGCUUAGUUGGUUAGAGCGUCGUGCUACUGACGCAAAUGUCAUGGUUUCGGUCCCCAUCCGGGCCG